CUGAAGAGUUUGAUCAUGGCUCAGAUUGAACGCUGGCGGCAGGCCUAACCAUGCAAGUCGAGCGGUAGAGAGAAGCUUGCUUCUCUUGAGAGCGGCGGACGGGUGAGUAAUGCCUAGGAAUCUGCCUGGUAGUGGGGGAUAACGUUCGGAAACGGACGCUAAUACCGCAUACGUCCUACGGGAGAAAGCAGGGGACCUUCGGGCCUUGCGCUAUCAGAUGAGCCUAGGUCGGAUUAGCUAGUUGGUGGGGUAAUGGCUCACCAAGGCGACGAUCCGUAACUGGUCUGAGAGGAUGAUCAGUCACACUGGAACUGAGACACGGUCCAGACUCCUACGGGAGGCAGCAGUGGGGAAUAUUGGACAAUGGGCGAAAGCCUGAUCCAGCCAUGCCGCGUGUGUGAAGAAGGUCUUCGGAUUGUAAAGCACUUUAAGUUGGGAGGAAGGGUUGUAGAUUAAUACUCUGCAAUUUUGACGUUACCGACAGAAUAAGCACCGGCUAACUCUGUGCCAGCAGCCGCGGUAAUACAGAGGGUGCAAGCGUUAAUCGGAAUUACUGGGCGUAAAGCGCGCGUAGGUGGUUUGUUAAGUUGGAUGUGAAAUCCCCGGGCUCAACCUGGGAACUGCAUUCAAAACUGACUGACUAGAGUAUGGUAGAGGGUGGUGGAAUUUCCUGUGUAGCGGUGAAAUGCGUAGAUAUAUGAAGGAACACCAGUGGCGAAGGCGACCACCUGGACUAGUACUCACACCGAGGUGCGACAGCUUGGGGAGCAAACAAGACUAGAUACCCCGCUAGUCCACGCCGUACACUAUGAUAACUAGCCGCUGGAGGCCAUGACCUGUUAUUUGCGCGCCCACCAAUAAAUUCACUCCCCGGGUUGAAAAGCCCCCUGCUAGGUUCACCUGAGUUUUUGCGGCCUGGCUAGCAAAAGAUGAGGAGGUUUUGUCUAAACUAAAAACCAAAAAUAACCUGUCCCCCCCUUCUACCCCAUGCAGACUUCUAGAGAUAGAUUGGUGCCUUCGGGAACAUUGAGACAGGUGCUGCAUGGCUGUCGUCAGCUCGUGUCGUGAGAUGUUGGGUUAAGUCCCGUAACGAGCGCAACCCUUGUCCUUAGUUACCAGCACGUAAUGGUGGGCACUCUAAGGAGACUGCCGGUGACAAACCGGAGGAAGGUGGGGAUGACGUCAAGUCAUCAUGGCCCUUACGGCCUGGGCUACACACGUGCUACAAUGGUCGGUACAGAGGGUUGCCAAGCCGCGAGGUGGAGCUAAUCCCAUAAAACCGAUCGUAG
This 1289-nucleotide ribosomal RNA is filed under the name Pseudomonas sp. Its description in RNAcentral is "bacterial SSU rRNA". It matches the Rfam family "Bacterial small subunit ribosomal RNA", at positions 1 to 1291 of the family's 1533-position model. The record is from RNAcentral. Lineage: Bacteria; Pseudomonadati; Pseudomonadota; Gammaproteobacteria; Pseudomonadales; Pseudomonadaceae.